Molecule: non-coding RNA, 447 nt
Organism: Paramuricea clavata
Lineage: Eukaryota; Metazoa; Cnidaria; Anthozoa; Malacalcyonacea; Plexauridae
Source: the annotation of a GenBank genome assembly
UUGUAGAAUAGUCCCAAUCCAAAAAUUGGAAAUAUUAUUUGUACUUGGGAGUAAAAAACCUCCCAUAAUAGUUGUCCUGUCAGAAUUCAAAAGAAGUAAUUUAAAAGUCACGCGCAAGUUCGCGAAAACACCUCGUGGGUUACAUAACAGAGGGAGGUGAAUAUUUUCACGAAACGUUUGUUCGCCACCACAGCAACCUAACUAAGUACAUUAUAUUUAUUGUAUAUUUGUGAUUUAUGAAAAAAAUAUAUAUAUUUGCGUAUUUUUAUCAUCAAUUAUAAAAAUACAAAAAAUAUAAUACAUUUAGUUAGGUUGCUGUGGGAACUUGCGCGUGACUUUUAAAUUACUUCUUUUGAAUUCUGACAGGAUCACAGGACAACUAUUAUGGGAGGUUUUUCCUCCCAAGUACAAAUAAUAUUUCCAAUUUUUGGAUUGGGACUAUUCUAC